RNAcentral lists this non-coding RNA (28 nucleotides) under Homo sapiens (human). Lineage: Eukaryota; Metazoa; Chordata; Mammalia; Primates; Hominidae. The record is from RNAcentral.
UCUAAUGGUGCUGCUGAACUGACAGGAG